Molecule: ribosomal RNA, 394 nt
Filed under: Fidelibacterota bacterium
Lineage: Bacteria; Pseudomonadati; Fidelibacterota
Description: bacterial LSU rRNA
Rfam family: Bacterial large subunit ribosomal RNA
Source: RNAcentral
CGUCACAUCCUGGAGCUGGAGAAGGUUCCAAGGGUUGGGCUGUUCGCCCAUUAAAGUGGCACGCGAGCUGGGUUCAGAACGUCGUGAGACAGUUCGGUCCCUAUCCUCUAUGAUCGUAGGAAAUUUGAAGGAAUCUGCUCUUAGUACGAGAGGACCGGAGUGGACGAACCUCUAGUGUACCUGUUGUUGUAUCAACAGCAUCGCAGGGUAGCUAUGUUCGGCAGGGAUAAGCGCUGAAAGCAUAUAAGUGCGAAGCCCAUCCUAAGAUAAGAUUUCCCUACUCUUUUGAGUCUAAAGACUACCAGAAGAAUACUGGAUUGAUAGGCUACAGAUGUAAGUACAGUAAUGUAUUUAGUCGAGUGGUACUAAUUAGUCGUGAGGCUUGAUCAAUUUU